RNAcentral lists this ribosomal RNA (618 nucleotides) under Schweinfurthia pedicellata. Its description in RNAcentral is "eukaryotic LSU rRNA". The stretch from base 236 to 391 matches the Rfam family "5.8S ribosomal RNA". The record is from RNAcentral. Lineage: Eukaryota; Viridiplantae; Streptophyta; Magnoliopsida; Lamiales; Plantaginaceae.
UCGAAACCUGCAAAGCAGACCCGCGAACGUGUGUUUAUUCAAUCCUCGGCGCGGGUGGACGAAAGUCCCCCCGAGUCGAGGCACCCUCGCUCGGGCGACGCGACGCGUGCGUCGUUUGAGCUAACGAACCCCGGCGCGGCAUGCGCCAAGGAAAACAAAAAAAGAAGCGUCGACCCUCGUCGCCCCGUUCGCGGGUGUCGGCGGGGGAAACACGACCUCUCUUGAAUGUCAAAACGACUCUCGGCAACGGAUAUCUCGGCUCUCGCAUCGAUGAAGAACGUAGCGAAAUGCGAUACUUGGUGUGAAUUGCAGAAUCCCGUGAACCAUCGAGUCUUUGAACGCAAGUUGCGCCCGAAGCCACUAGGCCGAGGGCACGUCUGCCUGGGCGUCACGCAUCGCGUCGCCCCCACCCAAUCCGUCCUGGCGGUGUUGGGACGGGGGCGGACACUGGCCUCCCGUGCGCCCCUGUGUGCGUGCGGCCGGCCCAAAUGCGAUCCCGCGUCGACGGAUGUCGCGACAAGUGGUGGUUGAACCUUCAACUCGCGUGCUGUCGUGCAUGGCUCCGUCGUUCGCUCGGGCAUCGUUUCGAMCCAAACGGCGCCUCAGUGCGCCUCCGAC